RNAcentral lists this ribosomal RNA (662 nucleotides) under uncultured Pseudomonadota bacterium. RNAcentral's name for it is "bacterial SSU rRNA". It matches the Rfam family "Bacterial small subunit ribosomal RNA", at positions 39 to 689 of the family's 1533-position model. Lineage: Bacteria; Pseudomonadati; Pseudomonadota. The record is from RNAcentral.
GCGGCUAGGCUAACACAUGCAAGUCGAACGGGUAACAGGAAGAAGCUUGCUUCUUUGCUGACGAGUGGCGGACGGGUGAGUAAUGUCUGGGAAACUGCCUGAUGGAGGGGGAUAACUACUGGAAACGGUAGCUAAUACCGCAUAACGUCGCAAGACCAAAAAGGGGGACCUUCGGGCCUCUUGCCAUCGGAUGUGCCCAGAUGGGAUUAGCUAGUAGGUGGGGUAACGGCUCACCUAGGCGACGAUCCCUAGCUGGUCUGAGAGGAUGACCAGCCACACUGGAACUGAGACACGGUCCAGACUCCUACGGGAGGCAGCAGUGGGGAAUAUUGCACAAUGGGCGCAAGCCUGAUGCAGCCAUGCCGCGUGUAUGAAGAAGGCCUUCGGGUUGUAAAGUACUUUCAGCGGGGAGGAAGGGAGUAAAGUUAAUACCUUUGCUCAUUGACGUUACCCGCAGAAGAGGCACCGGCUAACUCCGUGCCAGCAGCCGCGGUAAUACGGAGGGUGCAAGCGUUAAUCGGAAUUACUGGGCGUAAAGCGCACGCAGGCGGUUUGUUAAGUCAGAUGUGAAAUCCCCGGGCUCAACCUGGGAACUGCAUCUGAUACUGGCAAGCUUGAGUCUCGUAGAGGGGGGUAGAAUUCCAGGUGUAGCGGUGAAAUGC